GUGACAGAUUGAGAGCUCUUUCUUGAUUCGGUGGGUGGUGGUGCAUGGCCGUUCUUAGUUGGUGGAGCGAUUUGUCUGGUUAAUUCCGAUAACGAACGAGACUCUAGCCUGCUAACUAGGCGAUUUCCGGUACCCACAAUAGUGUUACCGGCGAUUCAAUUUCUUCUUAGAGGGACAGGCGGCUCCUAGC
RNAcentral lists this ribosomal RNA (190 nucleotides) under Phymatostetha perspicillaris. RNAcentral's name for it is "partial small subunit ribosomal RNA". It matches the Rfam family "Eukaryotic small subunit ribosomal RNA", at positions 1240 to 1434 of the family's 1831-position model. The record is from RNAcentral. Lineage: Eukaryota; Metazoa; Arthropoda; Insecta; Hemiptera; Cercopidae.